This 74-nucleotide transfer RNA is filed under the name Hirschia baltica ATCC 49814. It matches the Rfam family "tRNA". From Rfam's summary of the family: Transfer RNA (tRNA) molecules are approximately 80 nucleotides in length. Their secondary structure includes four short double-helical elements and three loops (D, anti-codon, and T loops). The record is from Rfam by way of RNAcentral. Lineage: Bacteria; Pseudomonadati; Pseudomonadota; Alphaproteobacteria; Hyphomonadales; Hyphomonadaceae.
GGGCCUGUAGCUCAGUUGGUUAGAGCAAACCGCUCAUAACGGUUUGGUCGGGGGUUCGAUUCCCUCCGGGCCUA